This is a long non-coding RNA of Equus caballus (horse), 2194 nucleotides long. NCBI's taxonomy places the organism in Eukaryota, Metazoa, Chordata, Mammalia, Perissodactyla, Equidae. The record is from Ensembl.
CAGUGGGUGGGGGUCUCUGCUAUGCAGUGUCUUAUGCUCAGAAGCUCAGCCCAAAAAUUGGGUUGGAUCAGCUUUCUGAGAGCUGGUGAAUCUCUGUUCAGAGCUGCUGUUUAGUCUUCCUAGGGAGUUUGGGUGCUCUAAAAACAUUUAUUUAAUUAAGCAAUUAAUUAAUUAAUGAACACUUAGUAUGUACCUGGCCCCAGGCUGAGUAUUUUGUAUCAAUCAUUUCUGAAUCCCAUCACAUUCUAAUAGGUGGUUACAGCAUUACUCACACUGCAAAGAUGGCAGAACUGAGUCACAGGUGUUUAUAUUGAUUAUUCAACAAGUGACAGAACUAAGGUUUGUCACUUGAACCGAUGGUCGCCUGACUCUAAACAUUCACUCUGGUCCUUUGUGGCUUGAAGAUGUCCCUUCCCUUGUGAGCAGCUCAUGCGUGGACCAGGAGAGCAGAUGAGCAGGCAUCCACAUACAAGUGGGCUGAUGAACGGAUGUCCAACCAGAGAUGUCCCUCUGUUUUGUCCCCAUACACAUGUCCUUCUCUCCCCAGGCCCGAAAGGGUGGAGCAGCCACUGGGGUUGACACUGUCUGCGUCCACCAUCCUGACUCUGUGGACCUCACGCUGGACAUGGAGUGGCUCUGCUGAGAGCUGAGCCACCAGCCCCAUGGUGUCGCCCGGCUUGCACAGGGACUGUCUCUGCGGUGAGGGAAAGGGGUCUCCUCCUGCACCCCAGGUGGAUGCUUCUCUUGGUGCUCUGAGCUCUGGUCAGAGCACACAUCCACGUCUGCUUCGAGAUUUCUCUCUCCUCACUCUUCUUUUCCUUGUGAGGUCCCUCUUCCCCACCGAGGGCUACGUCACAGGGAGAGAGAGAUGGAAAGUCAGAGAAAGGUUAUAGGAGGCACCGCUGACUGUUUGGAAGGGACACAACCUCCUGAUGGCGUCUAGUCUUCCACCAGCGGUCCAGCCCCUCCCUCCCUUCCUUAACCCUCUCAAAGCUCCCCCCUCACUCUUACCCACUCUCUGCAGUUACACCAGACCAGCCUUGACCUCCAUCCCCAGUGGUAAGUGUUCAAGCCCUAGAUGACCCCAUGACCCUACAAUGCCUUGAGGGGGCAGCUGGUCCCUCCUCCCGAAGUCCAGGGCCUCAGGGCUUCCAGGCAGGAAGCCGUAGGUGGUUACCUACCCACCCCCACCUCCACCUUCUGUGACAGGCUGGGCAUCAGGGCCCCCAUCUUGGGCAUCUCCAAGGUGAUGAGGCUGCCCCGUUCUCAUCUGAUGCUUCCUCCUCAGGUUCUGUGACUUCUAUACCCUCCUUGAGAACCCCAGAGGCUCCAGUCUCCUCCACCUCUACAGAAAGAGCCUUCCCUCUGUGUCUCCUUCCUUCCCACCUCCAUGCCUCCAUGCUUAGCCUUGAGAAGGACCAGAGAUCAUGCACAGGCAGCUCAAGGCUGGGGGACAGAGUGGGAGGAUGAACCUUUGGGUCUAUACCCUCACCACAGACCCGUCCAGCUCCACCCCUGGGUUUGGAGAGCUCUGUGACUCCAGGUUCUCAGUUCCAGACUGAAGCAGUGGCUCCUUUUAAUCCACCCCUUGCUUUCUGUUAAGGUUUGGUAUCAGUUAGUUUUACUGCAUAACAAACAACCCGCACAUUUACUGGAUUAAAACACUGAUCAUUGAUUACUGCUCACUAGUGUGCAGGUCAGCUGGGCAGCGCCUCUGGCUUGAACGGGGCUUCCUUACGUGUCUGCCAUUGCCUGCAGGUGAGCUGGGUGACUGCUCCUGGAGGACACCUGACUGAUGGAGAGGUCGCCUUGGUUGUCCUUCCUCUGACCUCAGCAUCCAGCAGACCAGCCCCGGCUCAUUCAUGUGCUCACAGAGCUCCCAGAGGGCAAGCCCCAGAACACAAGCAUUUUUCCAGCCUUUGCUCGCAUCAGGUCACACCAACUACUGAGCACUGCACAGGAAGCAUGAGUCUGAGCAAGAGUGUAGCAGGGAGGUCACAAGCAAGGAACUGGGGGUCAGAGAACCUGGGCCCAACCAGACUCUCCCUCCCUCCAGCCAUGUGACCCUGGGCAGCUGGGGGUCAGUGAGGAGCCGUUACUCUGAACCUCACCAACCACAACCUGCUGUGCUCCACACACGGGCCACCCCAGCUCCCUCAUGUUCAACAUCACAGACAUCCUCACGCAGCACCUG